GUGGGGGUGAUCAGGAAUUCUGAGAUUUGUAAGCGCUGCUUUCUUUAACGGAAAUUGAGCCCUAUUUUGAGGGAAAUUAGUUUUGCAGACUUCGUUAAAAAAAAAAAAAAAAAAAAAGCUAAAACUUUUGUUCACCAGCUGCUCAGCUUUUCAGUCUGGGUCUGAGCUGGAACCUGCUGCAAGCUUUUGACGUGGUUUAGAGGGAGCAAAGCAACUGAGAAAUGAAUGGAUUUGAAUUUAACCAGUGUGCUUCAGGUGAAAUACCAGAAUGCCCUGACCUUUUAUUCGAUCUGCACAUCAUUUCUGCACACAACUUCCAGGGCAGGGGAUGCUGCAUGCUCCAUACAUACUGACUCAUCAAAUGUGGAAGGAAUGAUGCAUUUGAAGGGAUUAUUCUUCCCUUUUCCUUCUGUUUUAGUUUGGGAAUGUGGAUAGUCAGUAAUGCCUGUGACGACCAAUUGGAAGAGAAGAAAUCAUUGUAGUCUUCACCAUCAAUGUGUGACUCUGUCUUAAAGAGAAUAUACUGGGGAUCCUGGGUGGCUCAGUGGUUUAGCGCCUGCGUUAGGCCCAGGGUGUGAUCCUGGAGACCCGGGAUCGAGUCCCAUGUUGGGCUCCUGCAUGGAGCCUAUUUCUCCUUCUGCCUAUGUCUCUGCCUCUCUCUCUCUCUCUCUCAUGAAUAAAUAAAUAAAAUCUUUUUAAAAAUAAAUAAAAAAUAACAAAAGAAUAUACUGCAAUCCUACUCAGCCUUGAUUUUGGAAAGCCCUCCCCUUCCCCCAGGCUGAGGCACGUGGUCAAAAGAACAUGAGCACAGGACAGGUAACCAAUUCCUCUUAAUUUAUCUUUAAUUCCCGGUAUUUUCUUACUAAAUUCCCAUUGCUCUAAACUCAAUUCUCCCUUGAUUGGAACAAGUGAUCUGAAACAGGUCCUACAUACAUAUUACAUGUUAAAAAGAUACUACUAGUAUUAAUAAAAAAUAGGAGGAUAACGAUCUACACCUCCCGUAACAACAGAAGAGAUAAUAGCACUUUCAUGCCUUACGACUGCCUAAUUGGUGAAGCAUCUCUUGAGACCUUAAUUUUGGUGUUCGUGGGGCGGUAAAGGGAAAAGGGGCCGCCGCCAAGCUGCCACUGGCACUCAGACGGUGUUGGACACCGAAACCUUCAGGCUAUAUAUUCUGAGCGCCGGUGGCCAAUUUCAGCACUGUGUAAACUGACCACUCAGCAGAGAAAUCUGGUUGCGAAUUAAACGUAUUGAGGAUCUGGCUUAAGGAGCAUAUGCUAGAAGGUGCGACUAAGAGAAAAGGGGGAAUUACCAGAGUGAUUCGGGAGGCCCCAGCCCGCGGCCACGGGGCCAGGAACCCGCAGGGCGCCGGCCUCGCCCCCGUGAGCACGCGCGGCCCGCUCCCCUGGCCGACGACCACGGCUGCAAGAACUGCCACGGCGCAGAGGCCCACCUGGCGCACACGCGCGUCGCCUGCGCCCACACCCGGACGCCCCUGAGGUCUACUAAAGCCCUGAUGGGCGUAGACCGCGUCACUUCCGCCCGGCGCGUUGCAGGCUGGGAAGGAAGCCUCACGCCGGAAGCCGGCCUACGUGGCCCGCUCUUCCGCGCAGGGCUUGGCACCCCUGGGACAGCGUCAGAGACCAAGCGCCCGAGUGGCCCCGGGCCUGGCAGGAUGGCAGCCCAGGGCCUUCUGCUCAGGCCGCGGCAUCUCACCCUUGAGCGGACCUGCUUGUCCUUGCAGAUGACGCCCCCUCGCCAUUCAGAAAAGGCGUCCGCCCCCCCCCCCCCCCCCCAAGAGGACCACAGCGACUGCCGUGUGCUUACCUGCGUCGCCGUCAAGCAGUCUUACUACUGUUCCUCGCAGGCCGCCGGACGUGUGACGUGAGCCGGCUGACACACGGCGUCCGGAAGACCACUGUCCUGCGCCAGCUUCUCUAUCCGGGAGCGAGGGUUGGCUUGUCCGCUCUGGCAGAGACGGGACGACCCCCCGCUCGGGCCCGGGCUGUCCGUGACUCGUGGUCCUAGGAACGCCGCCACGCAGAGAUACCUGCAGUGCGGCCUGCUGCAGCCCCGCCCGGACCCCGGGCCCUUAGAGGAGUCCAGGUUGAUGAACCAGCCUCAACAGCCUGGAGCUGAGGAGCAGCCCAUGGGCUCCUGGCGACUUUCCGGUUCCCGGGAGCCCUUGCUAAGUUGCAUUCAGAUUAGUUCGGGAGGGAUCCCCGGGUGGCUCAGCCGUGCAGCGCCUGCCUUCGGCCCAGGGCGUGAUGCUGGAGUCGCGGGAUCGAGUCCUGCAUCAUCGGGCUCCCUGUGUGGAGCCUGCUUCUCCCUCUGC
Molecule: long non-coding RNA, 2335 nt
Organism: Canis lupus familiaris (dog)
Lineage: Eukaryota; Metazoa; Chordata; Mammalia; Carnivora; Canidae
Exons: 3
Source: RefSeq, a predicted model, not a curated record